UAAUUAGGGUCCCGCCACAGGCGGUCCCCUAUAGUGAUCAGUCUGUUCGUCCGUCCAUCCGUCCGUCCAUCCGUCCAUCCGUCCGUCCAUCCGUCCGUCCGUCCGUUCGUCCGUAACACUUUGUGUCCGCUCCAUAUCUAGAGAACCAUUAUGAUUUCAUACUUUAUACUUUACAUGUUUAUUAACCACCACCAGAGGGCG
This 201-nucleotide long non-coding RNA is filed under the name Mytilus galloprovincialis (Mediterranean mussel). Lineage: Eukaryota; Metazoa; Mollusca; Bivalvia; Mytilida; Mytilidae. The record is from RNAcentral.